Long non-coding RNA from Caretta caretta (loggerhead turtle), 1626 nucleotides. RefSeq lists it as uncharacterized. NCBI's taxonomy places the organism in Eukaryota, Metazoa, Chordata, Testudines, Cheloniidae. The record is from RefSeq and is a predicted model, not a curated record.
UGGGACUAACUGUGCCCUAAUUUUAAAAAAUAGGCAGUAUGUGGUGGUAAGAGGCAAUAAAUUUGCCAAUACAGCCCACUGUCAAAGUUGGUUGCUUUUUGCUGUAAUGGGACACAUUUACCCAAUAGCAUAUUCCCCUCCCCCUUAAGCUUUCAGCUUGUUUUGCUAGUAAUGAGAAUCUCUAUCUGCAACUACAGCAGGAGACUAUUUUUAACACUGUUAACAAGUGAUUAGAAGACAGGGUGGAGUAUCAAACCAGUUUCCAGCCACCCAGGAAAAUUAUCACAUCACAACAGCAGAGGUUGGAACAUGGUCAUCUCACCCAUGAAGGAGUCAGAAGUCUGCCUGCCUGUCUACAAAUAUAAACAAGCAAAAGAGAAUUUCAGACUUUUUGCAUGGCAAGCUGCAAGUGAGCACAGAGCUCUUCAGCAGAGGUGACCAUGAUGGCGUCCCAGAAUCUCAAAAGAGCUCCAGCAUGGACCGAACGGGAGGUACGGGAUCUGAUCGCUGUAUGGGGAGAGGAAUCCAUGCUAUCAGAACUCUUUUGCAGUUUUCAAAAUGCCAAAACAUUUGUCAAAAUCUCCCAGGGCAUGAAGGACAGAGGCCAUAACAGGGACCUGAAGUAGUGCUGCAUGAAACUUAAGGAGCUGAGGCAAGCCUAUCAGAAAACCAGAGAGGCAAACGGCCGCUCUGGGACAGAGCCCAAAACAUGCCGCUUCCAUGAUGGGCUGCAUGCCAUUUUAGGGGGUUCAGCCACCACUACCCCAGCCAUGUUUGACUCCUUCAAUGGAGAGGGAGGCAACACAGAAGCAGGUUUUGGGGACAAGGAAGAUGAUGAUGAUUGCUCACAGCAAGUAAGCAGAGAAACCAGUUUUCCCGACAGCCAGGAACUGUUUCUCACCCUGGACCUGGAGCCAGUACCCCCCGAACCCACCCAAGGCUGCCUCCCAGACCUGCCAGGAGGAGAAGGGACCUCUGCUGCAUGUGUUUCAAGGAUCACAGGAUCUUCUCCUUCCCAGAGGCUAGCGAAGAUUAGAAGGUGAAAAAAGCACACUCGCAAUGAAAUGUUCUCUGAGCUCAUGCUGUCCUCCUGCACUGUCAGAGCACAGACAAAUGCGUGGAGGCAGACAAUGUCAGAGUGCAGGAAAGUGCAAAAUGACCGGGAGGAGAGGUGGCGGGCUGAAGAGAGUAAGUGACGGGCUGAAGACAGGGCUGAAGCUGAAAGGUGGCGGCAGCAUGAUGAGAGGAGGCAGGAUUCAAUGCUGAGGCUGCUGGAGGAUCAAACUAAUAUGCUCCAGCCUAUGGUUGAGCUUCAGGAAAGGCAGCUGGAGCACAGACUGCCCCUACAGCCCCUGUGUAACCAACCGCCCUCCUCCCUAAGUUCCAUAGCCUCCUCACCCAGAUGCCCAAGAACAUGGUGGGGGGGCAUCCAGCCACUCCACACCAGAGGAUUGCCCAAGCAACAGAAGUCUGGCUUUCAAUAAGUUUUAAAGUGCUGUGUGGCCUUGUCCUUCCUUCCUCCACCACCCCUACUGGUGCUUCUGUCCUCCACCACCCCUCCUGGGCUACCUUGGUAGUUAUCCCCCUAUUUGUGUGAUGAAUGAAUAAAGAAUGCAUGAAUGUGAA